Molecule: ribosomal RNA, 443 nt
Filed under: uncultured Leptotrichia sp.
Lineage: Bacteria; Fusobacteriati; Fusobacteriota; Fusobacteriia; Fusobacteriales; Leptotrichiaceae
Description: bacterial SSU rRNA
Rfam family: Bacterial small subunit ribosomal RNA
Source: RNAcentral
CCUACGGGCGGCAGCAGUGGGGAAUAUUGGACAAUGGAGGGAACUCUGAUCCAGCAAUUCUGUGUGCAUGAAGAAGGUUUUCGGAUUGUAAAGUGCUUUCAGCAGGGAAGAAGAAAGUGACGGUACCUGCAGAAGAAGCGACGGCUAAAUACGUGCCAGCAGCCGCGGUAAUACGUAUGUCGCGAGCGUUAUCCGGAAUUAUUGGGCAUAAAGGGCAUCUAGGCGGCACGACAAGUCAGGGGUGAAAACUUGCGGCUCAACUGCAAGCUUGCCUUUGAAACUGUAGUGCUAGAGUAUUGGAAAGGUGGGCGGAACUACACGAGUAGAGGUGAAAUUCGUAGAUAUGUGUAGGAAUGCCGAUGAUGAAGAUAGCUCACUGGACGAUAACUGACGCUGAAGUGCGAAAGCUAGGGGAGCGAACAGGAUUAGAUACCCCAGUAGUC